CCGGUGCUUGCACCGGGGAUUAGUGGCGAACGGGUGAGUAACACGUGAGUAACCUGCCCUUGACUCUGGGAUAAGCCUGGGAAACCGGGUCUAAUACCGGAUAUGACCUGUCACCGCAUGGUGGUGGGUGGAAAGAUUUUUUGGUCUUGGAUGGACUCGCGGCCUAUCAGCUUGUUGGUGGGGUAAUGGCCUACCAAGGCGACGACGGGUAGCCGGCCUGAGAGGGUGACCGGCCACACUGGGACUGAGACACGGCCCAGACUCCUACGGGAGGCAGCAGUGGGGAAUAUUGCACAAUGGGCGCAAGCCUGAUGCAGCGACGCCGCGUGAGGGAUGAAUGCCUUCGGGUUGUAAACCUCUUUCAGCAGGGAAGAAGCGAAAGUGACGGUACCUGCAGAAGAAGCGCCGGCUAACUACGUGCCAGCAGCCGCGGUAAUACGUAGGGCGCAAGCGUUGUCCGGAAUUAUUGGGCGUAAAGAGCUCGUAGGCGGUUUGUCGCGUCUGCUGUGAAAGCCCGGGGCUCAACCCCGGGUCUGCAGUGGGUACGGGCAGACUAGAGUGCAGUAGGGGAGACUGGAAUUCCUGGUGUAGCGGUGAAAUGCGCAGAUAUCAGGAGGAACACCGAUGGCGAAGGCAGGUCUCUGGGCUGUAACUGACGCUGAGGAGCGAAAGCAUGGGGAGCGAACAGGAUUAGAUACCCUGGUAGUCCAUGCCGUAAACGUUGGGCACUAGGUGUGGGGGGACAUUCCACGUUUUUCCGCGCCGUAGCUAACGCAUUAAGUGCCCCGCCUGGGGAGUACGGCCGCAAGGCUAAAACUCAAAGGGAAUUGACGGGGCCCGCACAAGCGGGCGGAGCAUGCGGAUUAAUUUCGAUGC
This 876-nucleotide ribosomal RNA is filed under the name Crystallibacter crystallopoietes. RNAcentral describes it as "bacterial SSU rRNA". It matches the Rfam family "Bacterial small subunit ribosomal RNA", at positions 73 to 957 of the family's 1533-position model. The record is from RNAcentral. Lineage: Bacteria; Bacillati; Actinomycetota; Actinomycetes; Micrococcales; Micrococcaceae.